ACUUUCAACAACGGAUCUCUUGGCUCUCGCAUCGAUGAAGAACGUAGCGAAGUGCGAUAAGUAAUGUGAGUUGCAGAAUUCCGUGAGUCAUCGAAUCUUUGAACGCAAGUUGCACUCUCUGGUAUUCCGGGGAGUAUGCCUGUUUGAGGGUCAGU
Molecule: ribosomal RNA, 155 nt
Filed under: Glomus sp. 0181
Lineage: Eukaryota; Fungi; Glomeromycota; Glomeromycetes; Glomerales; Glomeraceae
Description: 5.8S ribosomal RNA
Rfam family: 5.8S ribosomal RNA
About the family: 5.8S ribosomal RNA (5.8S rRNA) is a component of the large subunit of the eukaryotic ribosome.
Source: RNAcentral